RNAcentral lists this non-coding RNA (284 nucleotides) under Bacillota bacterium. RNAcentral describes it as "Firmicutes bacterium T-box sequence". It matches the Rfam family "T-box leader". From Rfam's summary of the family: Uncharged tRNA acts as the effector for transcription antitermination of genes in the T-box leader family. T-boxes are found upstream of many aminoacyl-tRNA synthetase genes and some amino acid biosynthetic genes usually in Gram-positive bacteria. Lineage: Bacteria; Bacillati; Bacillota. The record is from RNAcentral.
ACAAAGAUGAGGAAGAAGAAGAGUACGUUUACCCGGCUGACAGAGAGGGUCCCGGAUCGCUGAAAGGAGACCUGAGCAAAGGAGAACGGAAUGUGGCUUUGGAAUCGGAGAGCUGAAUGCGCAGCUGCGUGGUAAGCCUUCACGGUAGUCCCCGUUAUCGGACAGCGGUUCUAGAGGAAUGACCGCGACAAGAUUCCGAAACAGCUGGCGGCGCAGUCUCUGCAGCAGAUCAGUUUUUCCGGAAAACAAAGGUGGUACCGCGUUUGGAUUCAGACGCCCUUUGA